Molecule: non-coding RNA, 360 nt
Rfam family: Alphaproteobacteria transfer-messenger RNA
About the family: Bacterial tmRNA, also known as 10Sa RNA or SsrA, is named for its dual tRNA and mRNA-like properties. Its role is to liberate the mRNA from a stalled ribosome. To accomplish this part of the tmRNA is used as a reading frame that ends in a translation stop signal.
Source: Rfam
CCGCUUGAUAAAGCGGCCGGCGCGCUCCAUAUAGGACGUGCCGGGUUCGCCCGGCUAUGGUGAUAAAUCGUGUCGUGCAAUAGGCGCAGCGGACCCGGGGGCAGUACCCGGCGGCUCCACCACAUAUCCCGGUGGCCUUUGAAAGGGCUGGACGGGGUGUCUGACGGGGCCGAACUAGGAUCGACGUGUGUUGAAAAGCGAAUGCCUUCACCCGGCCUGAGUACGCCGUAAAAAUGUUCAAAACUCACAAGUGCCAACGAUAACGAGGCUCUUGCUCUUGCUGCGUAAUUGAUGGCCUCACGGCCUGACAUUACCCAAAAAGAACGCGGUUGAACCCACCGGGCAACAGAAGGGAAUUCA